CGCUAUCACUCCUACGGGGAGGCAGCAGUAGGGAAUCUUCCACAAUGGGCGCAAGCCUGAUGGAGCAACACCGCGUGAGUGAAGAAGGGUUUCGGCUCGUAAAGCUCUGUUGUUAAAGAAGAACACGUAUGAGAGUAACUGUUCAUACGUUGACGGUAUUUAACCAGAAAGUCACGGCUAACUACGUGCCAGCAGCCGCGGUAAUACGUAGGUGGCAAGCGUUAUCCGGAUUUAUUGGGCGUAAAGAGAGUGCAGGCGGUUUCUUAAGUCUGAUGUGAAAGCCUUCGGCUUAACCGGAGAAGUGCAUCGGAAACUGGAUAACUUGAGUGCAGAAGAGGGUAGUGGAACUCCAUGUGUAGCGGUGGAAUGCGUAGAUAUAUGGAAGAACACCAGUGGCGAAGGCGGCUACCUGGUCUACAACUGACGCUGAGACUCGAAAGCAUGGGUAGCGAACAGGAUUAGAUACCCUGGUAG
Molecule: ribosomal RNA, 474 nt
Filed under: uncultured bacterium
Lineage: Bacteria
Description: bacterial SSU rRNA
Rfam family: Bacterial small subunit ribosomal RNA
Source: RNAcentral